GGGAACACAGAUGAGAGUGUAUCAUUAACCAAGGAUUACUAGAAGUCCAAUUUGUACAUCUGAGGUCCUAA
Molecule: small nucleolar RNA, 71 nt
Filed under: Tursiops truncatus (common bottlenose dolphin)
Lineage: Eukaryota; Metazoa; Chordata; Mammalia; Artiodactyla; Delphinidae
Description: Small nucleolar RNA SNORD112 (ENSTTRG00000024529.1)
Source: RNAcentral